AGAGUUUGAUCCUGGCUCAGGAUGAACUCUGGCGGCAUGCCUAACACAUGCAAGUCGAACGAAGCAUUGUCAACGGAAGCUUCGGCCGAAGUUGACUUUGACUUAGUGGCGGACGGGUGAGUAACGCGUGAGUAACCUGCCUUUCAGAGGGGGAUAACGUUCUGAAAAGAUCGCUAAUACCGCAUGAGACUACAGAGCUGCAUGGCUCAGUGGUCAAAGGAGCAAUCCGCUGAAAGAUGGACUCGCGUCCGAUUAGAUAGUUGGCGGGGUAACGGCCCACCAAGUCGACGAUCGGUAGCCGGACUGAGAGGUUGAACGGCCACAUUGGGACUGAGACACGGCCCAGACUCCUACGGGAGGCAGCAGUGAGGGAUAUUCGGCAAUGGGGGAAACCCUGACCGAGCAAUGCCGCGUGAGGGAUGACGGUUUUCGGAUUGUAAACCUCUGUCCUCUGUGAAGAUAAUGACGGUAGCAGAGGAGGAAGCUCCGGCUAACUACGUGCCAGCAGCCGCGGUAAUACGUAGGUUGCAAGCGUUGUCCGGAUUUACUGGGUGUAAAGGGCGUGUAGGCGGAGAUGCAAGUCAGGAGUGAAAUCCCGGGGCUCAACCCCGGAACUGCUUUUGAAACUGUAUCCCUUGAGUGUCGGAGAGGCAAGCGGAAUUCCUAGUGUAGCGGUGAAAUGCGUAGAUAUUAGGAGGAACACCAGUGGCGAAGGCGGCUUACUGGACUGUAACUGACGUUGAGGCGCGAAAGUGUGGGGAGCAAACAGGAUUAGAUACCCUGGUAGUCCACACUGUAAACGAUGGAUACUAGGUGUAGGCAUGAAUGUGUCUGUGCCGGCGCAAACGCAAUAAGUAUCCCACCUGGGGAGUACGGCCGCAAGGUUGAAACUCAAAGAAAUUGACGGGGGCCCGCACAAGCAGUGGAGUAUGUGGUUUAAUUCGACGCAACGCGAAGAACCUUACCAAGACUUGACAUAUACAGGAAUAUCUAAGAAAUUAGAUAGUCUUUCGGGACUUGUAUACAGGUGAUGCAUGGUUGUCGUCAGCUCGUGUCGUGAGAUGUUGGGUUAAGUCCCGCAACGAGCGCAACCCUCGUGAUUAGUUGCCACCAAGUGGAACUCUAAUCAGACUGCCGUAGUUAAUACGGAGGAAGGUGAGGAUGACGUCAAAUCAUCACGUCCCUUAUGUCUUGGGCUACACACGUACUACAAUGGUUGCUACAGAGAGAAGCGAAGCCGCGAGGCAGAGCAAAACUGAAAAAAGCAGCCCCAGUUCGGAUUGCAGGCUGAAACUCGCCUGUAUGAAGUUGGAAUUGCUAGUAAUCACAGGUCAGCAUACUGUGGUGAAUACGUUCCCGGGCCUUGCACACAACGCCCGUCA
This 1382-nucleotide ribosomal RNA is filed under the name uncultured bacterium. Its description in RNAcentral is "16S ribosomal RNA". It matches the Rfam family "Bacterial small subunit ribosomal RNA". The record is from RNAcentral.